Molecule: transfer RNA, 75 nt
Filed under: Candidatus Endobugula sertula (Bugula neritina bacterial symbiont)
Lineage: Bacteria; Pseudomonadati; Pseudomonadota; Gammaproteobacteria; Cellvibrionales; Cellvibrionaceae
Description: tRNA-Lys
Rfam family: tRNA
About the family: Transfer RNA (tRNA) molecules are approximately 80 nucleotides in length. Their secondary structure includes four short double-helical elements and three loops (D, anti-codon, and T loops).
Source: RNAcentral
CCGUUCGUGGCGUAAUGGUAGCGCAUCGGCCUUUUAAGCCGACAGGUGUGGGUUCAAAUCCUACCGGGCGGACCA